GACGAACGCUGGCGGCGUGCUUAACACAUGCAAGUCGAACGGAAAGGCCCUGCUUUUGUGGGGUGCUCGAGUGGCGAACGGGUGAGUAACACGUGAGUAACCUGCCCUUGACUUUGGGAUAACUUCAGGAAACUGGGGCUAAUACCGGAUAGGAGCUCCUGCUGCAUGGUGGGGGUUGGAAAGUUUCGGCGGUUGGGGAUGGACUCGCGGCUUAUCAGCUUGUUGGUGGGGUAGUGGCUUACCAAGGCUUUGACGGGUAGCCGGCCUGAGAGGGUGACCGGCCACAUUGGGACUGAGAUGCGGCCCAGACUCCUACGGGAGGCAGCAGUGGGGAAUAUUGCACAAUGGGCGGAAGCCUGAUGCAGCAACGCCGCGUGCGGGAUGACGGCCUUCGGGUUGUAAACCGCUUUCGCCUGUGACGAAGCGUGAGUGACGGUAAGGGGUAAAGAAGCACCGGCUAACUACGUGC
Molecule: ribosomal RNA, 469 nt
Filed under: uncultured bacterium
Lineage: Bacteria
Description: partial 16S ribosomal RNA
Rfam family: Bacterial small subunit ribosomal RNA
Source: RNAcentral